UAAAUAGCUCAAGCAGUAGAACAUAAGACUCUUAAUUUCAGGGUUGUGGGUUUGAACCCCAUAUUGGGCAAAA
Molecule: non-coding RNA, 73 nt
Organism: Podarcis lilfordi (Lilford's wall lizard)
Lineage: Eukaryota; Metazoa; Chordata; Lepidosauria; Squamata; Lacertidae
Source: the annotation of a GenBank genome assembly